This 492-nucleotide ribosomal RNA is filed under the name uncultured bacterium. RNAcentral describes it as "partial 16S ribosomal RNA". It matches the Rfam family "Bacterial small subunit ribosomal RNA", at positions 29 to 507 of the family's 1533-position model. The record is from RNAcentral.
AGUGAACGCUGGCGGUGGGCCUAACACAUGCAAGUCGAACGGCAGCACAGUAAGAGCUUGCUCUUACGGGUGGCGAGUGGCGGACGGGUGAGGAAUACAUCGGAAUCUACUUUUUCGUGGGGGAUAACGUAGGGAAACUUACGCUAAUACCGCAUACGACCUACGGGUGAAAGCAGGGGGUCUUCGGACCUUGCGCGAUUGAAUGAGCCGAUGUCGGAUUAGCUAGUUGGCGGGGUAAAGGCCCACCAAGGCGACGAUCCGUAGCUGGUCUGAGAGGAUGAUCAGCCACACUGGAACUGAGACACGGUCCAGACUCCUACGGGAGGCAGCAGUGGGGAAUAUUGGACAAUGGGCGCAAGCCUGAUCCAGCCAUACCGCGUGGGUGAAGAAGGCCUUCGGGUUGUAAAGCCCUUUUGUUGGGAAAGAAAAGCAGCAGGUUAAUACCCCGCUGUUCUGACGGUACCCAAAGAAUAAGCACCGGCUAACUUCGUG